UUUGGCAUUCGGCUUACGCGCAAUAAUGCCGUUCCCUACCGCGUGUAACAGGUGGGUUUUACCCAGGCCCGUUCCGCCAUA
RNAcentral lists this antisense RNA (81 nucleotides) under uncultured Phytobacter sp. RNAcentral describes it as "antisense RNA of dnaA mRNA". It matches the Rfam family "antisense RNA of dnaA mRNA". The record is from RNAcentral. Lineage: Bacteria; Pseudomonadati; Pseudomonadota; Gammaproteobacteria; Enterobacterales; Enterobacteriaceae.